Molecule: ribosomal RNA, 877 nt
Filed under: uncultured archaeon
Lineage: Archaea
Description: bacterial SSU rRNA
Rfam family: Archaeal small subunit ribosomal RNA
Source: RNAcentral
UUGAUCCUGCCGGAGGCUACUGCUAUCGGGGUCCGACUAAGCCAUGCGAGUCGAGAGGGGUAAGCCCCCGGCGUAUUGCUCAGUAACACGCGGAUAACCUGCCCUUGGGUCCGGGAUAACCCCGGGAAACUGGGACUAAUACCGGAUAGAUCAAAGAUACUGGAAUGUUCCUUGGUCCAAAACUCCGGUGCCCAAGGAUGGGUCUGCGGCCUAUCAGGUUGUAGUGGGUGUAACGUACCUACUAGCCUACGACGGGUAAGGGUUGUGAGAGCAAGAGCCCUGAGAUGGAUUCUGAGACAUGAAUCCAGGCCCUACGGGGUGCAGCAGGCGCGAAAACUUUACACUGCUAGAAAUAGCGAUAAGGGGACCCCGAGUGCCAGUACCUAGUACUGGCUGUCCCGCUGUCUAAACAACAGUGGUUAGCAAGGGCCGGGCAAGACCGGUGCCAGCCGCCGCGGUAACACCGGCGGCCCGAGUGGUAGCCGUUAUUAUUGGGUUUAAAGGGUCCGUAGCCGGCUUAUUAAGUCUCUUGGGAAAUCUGGCGACUUAAUCGUCAGGCGUCCAAGAGAUACUGAUAGGCUUGGGACCGGGAGAGGUGGGAGGUACUCCCAGGGGUAGGGGUGAAAUCUCGUAAUCCUUGGGGGACCACCGAUGGCGAAAGGCAUCCCACCCAGAACGGGUCCGAACGUGAGGGGACGAAAAGCUGGGGGCACGAACCCGGAUUAGAUACCCGGGUAGUCCCAGCUGUAAACGAUGCUCGCUAGGUGUCANUGCGGGUGCGACCGCAUCUGGUGCCGCAGUGGAAAACUUGAAGCGAGUCACCUGGGGAAGUACGNCGCANGCUGAAACUUUAAAGAANUGGCGGGGGAGCACUACA